UACGAAGGGUGCGAGCGUUGUUCGGAUUUACUGGGCGUAAAGGGUUCGUAGGCGGGAACGUAAGUCGAAUGUGAAAACCCCGGGCUUAACCUGGGACGUGCAUUCGAAACUAUAUUUCUUGAGUUUUGGAGAGGGUGGUGGAAUUGCUGGUGUAGGAGUGACAUCCGUAGAGAUCAGCAGGAACGCCGGAGGCGAAAGCGACCACCUGGCCAAGGACUGACGCUGAGGAACGAAAGCGUGGGGAGCAAACAGG
RNAcentral lists this ribosomal RNA (253 nucleotides) under uncultured bacterium. Its description in RNAcentral is "partial 16S ribosomal RNA". It matches the Rfam family "Bacterial small subunit ribosomal RNA", at positions 524 to 776 of the family's 1533-position model. The record is from RNAcentral.